GCCGCUCCGGGCGCAGCCAAGAUGGCGCCGCCGCAACCGCCGCCGCGUCCCCACCAGCCCACGCUCCGCCUGAGCAGCGAGAGGUACCUGCGGGCACAGCCGGCGGUCAGGGUGCUGCUGCGGGGCUUCCUCAGGGAGCUGCUGCUCCGGCGACCGGCCGACGUC
Grus americana (Whooping crane) is the source of this 165-nucleotide long non-coding RNA. RefSeq lists it as uncharacterized. The record is from RefSeq and is a predicted model, not a curated record. The transcript is spliced from 3 exons. NCBI's taxonomy places the organism in Eukaryota, Metazoa, Chordata, Aves, Gruiformes, Gruidae.